This 70-nucleotide transfer RNA is filed under the name Minla ignotincta (red-tailed minla). Its description in RNAcentral is "tRNA-Val". Lineage: Eukaryota; Metazoa; Chordata; Aves; Passeriformes; Leiothrichidae. The record is from RNAcentral.
CAAGACGUAGCUUAAACAAAAGCAUUCAGCUUACACCUGAAAAAUACCUGCCCACAACAGGUCGUCUUGA